UCGAGAAUCUUCGGCAAUGGGCGCAAGCCUGACCGAGCGACGCCGCGUGGAGGACGAAGGCCUUCGGGUUGUAAACUCCUGUCGAGGGGGAGGAAGGCGGCGCGCAGAGCGUCGCUUGACCGAUCCCUGGAGGAAGCACGGGCUAAGUUCGUGCCAGCAGCCGCGGUAAGACGAACCGUGCGAACGUUAUUCGGAAUCACUGGGCUUAAAGCGCGUGUAGGCGGCCCGGCGCGUCUGUCGCUGAAAUCCCCCGGCUCAACCGGGGAAGGGGCGGGGAUACGGCCGGGCUGGAGGGGGGUAGGGGGAUCGGGAACUUCCGGUGGAGCGGUGAAAUGCGUUGAGAUCGGAAGGAACGCCCGCGGCGAAAGCGCGGUCCUGGACCCCACCUGACGCUGAGACGCGAAAGCCAGGGGAGCGAACGGGAUUAGAUACCCGGGUAGUCC
Molecule: ribosomal RNA, 443 nt
Filed under: uncultured bacterium
Lineage: Bacteria
Description: bacterial SSU rRNA
Rfam family: Bacterial small subunit ribosomal RNA
Source: RNAcentral